UGGGCAACCUGCCCCUCUCUCUGGGAUAACCCCCGGGGAAACCGGAGCUAAUACCGGAUACUCCGAUCGGAUCACAUGGCUCGAUCGGGAAAGGUCCGCCGGAGAGGGAUGGGCCCGCGGCCUAUCAGCUUGUUGGUGAGGUACGCUCACCAAGACGACGACGGGUAGCUGGUCUGAGAGGAUGGCCAGCCACAGUUGGGACUGAGACACCGGCCCAGACCUCCGUACGGGAGCA
This 235-nucleotide ribosomal RNA is filed under the name uncultured bacterium. RNAcentral describes it as "partial 16S ribosomal RNA". It matches the Rfam family "Bacterial small subunit ribosomal RNA", at positions 118 to 347 of the family's 1533-position model. The record is from RNAcentral.